UACGUAGGUGGCAAGCGUUGUCCGGAUUUACUGGGCGUAAAGCGUGUGUAGGCGGACGCUUAAGUAGAAAGUGAAAGGUUGGUGCUCAACACCAACAUUGCUUUCUAUACUGGGUGUCUUGAGUGCCGGAGAGGAAGAUGGAACUGCACGUGUAGCGGUGAAAUGCGUUGAGAUGUGCAGGAACACCAAUGGCGAAGGCAAUCUUCUAGACGGAAACUGACGCUGAGACACGAAAGCCAAGGGAGCGAACAGG
RNAcentral lists this ribosomal RNA (253 nucleotides) under uncultured bacterium. RNAcentral's name for it is "partial 16S ribosomal RNA". It matches the Rfam family "Bacterial small subunit ribosomal RNA", at positions 524 to 776 of the family's 1533-position model. The record is from RNAcentral.